RNAcentral lists this ribosomal RNA (423 nucleotides) under Verrucomicrobiota bacterium. RNAcentral describes it as "Verrucomicrobia bacterium partial 16S ribosomal RNA". It matches the Rfam family "Bacterial small subunit ribosomal RNA", at positions 355 to 776 of the family's 1533-position model. Lineage: Bacteria; Pseudomonadati; Verrucomicrobiota. The record is from RNAcentral.
UGAGGAAUAUUGGUCAAUGGACGCAAGUCUGAACCAGCCAAGUAGCGUGCAGGAGGACGGCCCUAUGGGUUGUAAACUGCUUUUAUAUGGGGAUAAAGUGGGGAACGUGUUCCCUUUUGCAGGUACAAUAUGAAUAAGGACAGGCUAAUUCCGUGCCAGCAGCCGCGGUAAUACGGAAGGUACGGGCGUUAUCCGGAAUCAUUGGGCGUAAAGGGUACGUAGGCGGAUAAGCAAGUUAGAAGUGAAAUCCUAUAGCUCAACUAUAGUAAGCUUUUAAAACUACUCAUAUUGAUGUAUGGAAGGGACAGUUGAAUUCCUAGUGUAGCCGUGAAAUGCGCAGCUAUUAGGAGCAAUACCGGUGGCGAAGGCGACUUUCUGGCCCUAUACUGACGCUGAGGUACGAAAGCGUGGGUAGCAAACAGG